GAUGAAGAACGCAGCGAAAUGCGAUAAGUAAUGUGAAUUGCAGAAUUCAGUGAAUCAUCGAAUCUUUGAACGCACAUUGCGCCCGCCAGCACUCUGGCGGGCAUGCCUGUUCGAGCGUCAUUUCAACCAUCAAGCCCCCAGGGGCUUGUGCUGGGGCCCUGCGGCUGCCCGCAGGCCCUGAAAACCAGUGGCGGGCUCGCUAGUCACACCGAGCGCAGUAGCACAUCUCGCUCAGGGCGUGCGGCGGGCUCCUGCCGUGAAACCCCCCACUGUAACCCCAAAGGUUGACCUCGGAUCAGGUAGGAAUACCCGCUGAACUUAAGCAUAUCAAUAAGCGGGAGGA
Molecule: unclassified non-coding RNA, 343 nt
Filed under: soil metagenome
Description: partial contains 5.8S ribosomal RNA, internal transcribed spacer 2, and large subunit ribosomal RNA
Rfam family: 5.8S ribosomal RNA (bases 1-120)
Source: RNAcentral